RNAcentral lists this unclassified non-coding RNA (245 nucleotides) under Hevea brasiliensis (rubber tree). The record is from RNAcentral. Lineage: Eukaryota; Viridiplantae; Streptophyta; Magnoliopsida; Malpighiales; Euphorbiaceae.
UGAAGAUGUAGCUCCCCCUUCCCCCGGAUACUCCCUUGAGUAACGUUGGAAAGAACGUUAACCACUAACAAUCUCCAAAAGGAGAGAACAUUGGUCAGUUGAUGCUUUUGUUGUAAUAUUGAAAUAACAUCUAUUCUUCUUGGGCUUUUGCUUUGUGAUUGGAUUAGAAAGUUAUAAGAGUUGGCAAUAAGGAUGUCUUGGCUAGUAGCGGGUUCAGUUGAGAUCAUCAGAUUGGGGGUGUCAAG